GCUGAAAGAACUCUGUACGAACAGAUCUUGCUAAAUUUUAUCUUCCUUUAGUAUCCUCGUAUUUUACUUUUACACAAUUGCCUGUCUUCCUUCAACCUGCUAUAUAAGCGCUUAGAUUUUGCCACUUGUUUGAAUCUUCAUUACCUUAUGAGGGCUCAUGUUAUACAAAACUUAUGUUAAAUAAAUUCAUAUGCUUUUCUCUUGGUUAUAGUGAUAACUUCAGACAAAACUAGAAGCCCUUGAAUUUUCUCUUUUUUAAAGAAUAAUAUUACUCCAAUUUGAUAAGCAACGCAUUUAUGUACCAGAUAUGUAUAUUAAUGAAGAAAAAGUGGGUGGUAUCUACUGUUUGUCAGCACUGAUUGGCAUUUUAUAUACUUUCUACCCUCUCCACUUGAUCUCCUCAAUAAUCCUGUCAAGUAAAUACUAUAUUUUUAUUACAGAAGAAAUGAGACUUGGAGAAGUUAGGUAAGUUUCCCGAGACCACUCCAUUAGUAAGAGGUAGAACCACUAGCCUUCCAAACACGAACAAUUGGUUGCUUUAAAAUCACUUUGUAUGGAACCAAAUGUCUGUAUAAUGCCUCUAUUAGAUAUUUGACACAAAACUCUCCUUGAUAGAAGACACAGAUGGAGAUGAUAUUCUUUAUGUCGAGUCCGUAACUUUAUAUAGAUACCCACAUAGCAAGGUAUAGAAGAAAGAGUAAAGUGUUGGGAGUUGCCAAUAGGUGAGGUUUAGAUGAGAAACAGAGAAAAGAAUAUUUAUUAUCAUGGUGCUCCUAUAUGUCAGGUAGGAUGAGCAUUUUGGGUAUUGAGCAAAUAAUCACCUUCGUAUUGAUAUGUUCAAGUUGGGGUACUGAGGGACUUUUAUAAAAUUAGAUGAUACUGUAAAUACAUUUUCAGAGCCUGAUUUAAACAUUUUCUAACUUUCCCCUUAAAAAGUAUUUAUUGGAGAUGCUUGAGAAAGUAGAGACAAUGAGACUUAUUUUCUGACCAGAUGUGUAGCUUGAACAUCUAAAAAAAUAUUCACGGGGCACCUGGGUGGCUCAGUCAGUUAAACCUCUGCCUUGACUCAGGUUGUAAUCUUGGGGUCCUGGGACUGAGCCCCAUGUAGGGCUCCCUGCUUAGCGAGGAGUCUACUUCUCCCUCUGCCCCACUCUCCUGCUCAUACUUUCUCUCAAAUGCAUAAAAAAACCUUAAAAAUAUUCACAUCAUUAGCUUUGCGCAGUGGCAGUAUCGUAGCCAACGAGGUUUAUCCGAGGUGCGAUUAUUGCUAAUUGAAAAUAUUCACAUCAAGCCAUGUUGAAUUUGGGGUGCUGAAUGACUAUUAUUACUUAACCUCAUUUUAUUUUAUUUUUUAAUUUAAAUUCAAUUUGCCAAAAUACAGUAUAGCACCCAGUGCUCAUUCCAUCAAGUGCCCUCCUUAGUGCCCAACACCCAGUCACCCCAUUACCCACUCCCCUUCCACAACCCUUUGUUUGUUCUUAACCUCAUUCUAAAGGUGGGUAAAAAUGAGGUUAAGUAAUAAAAAGCCACCAUAUGGCAGGGGCAUAGGCCUGACUAGCAUCCAUCUGCUCUUGGCAGAUUUCUCCUCCUCUCCUUCCCUCCCAUUCUUUCCCCCUCUCCCUCCCUCCCACUUCUAUCUUUAUUUCCUCCUUCUGGGAGAUGACUGGCUGCAGGCUCUCUGUGCCUCUGUGACCAUUUAAUUCCCAUGACACCAGGUCAAGCACCAGUGGGCAUUUAAUACAGAAUAAUAAUUCUCAUUGUUGUGGUAAUGUGGCGGCCCAAGGUGUGACUGGAUGCCAAAAAUUUUCUGGAAGUCUUGUUGAACAGAGACUGGGAAGGAACUAGUCUUAGCGUGGCACAGCUCUAUGUGCCCUGUGUGUACUUCUGAUGUCCCACACCUGGUAGUAUUUGGAACCUAAUCACCUGGACUUUGGGAAGUGCUGCGUGAGACAGAUGUGUCUCAUGUGUGCCUGGUUUAGGCAGGCUACAUGGCUGGCCAAGCCACACACUGAUGACCUGAUGUUUCCACAUUGGAGCCUGCCACUCUCCAGCAUUUUGGGAAGGGUACAGCUCUAGGAUUGUGGCCAGGAUUGUGGCAGAUCAUGGGGACAGAGAAGAGGCAGUGUUUUGUUUAGAGAUAAUGGCAGCUCCUGGGAAACCAGGGAAAUUAGAAACUCAGAAGAUAUUCUGAUUUUUUUUUUUUAGGAUUUAUUUAUUUGUUUGUUUGUUUAUUUAUUUAUUUAUUUAUUUAUUUAUUUAUUUAUUUAUUUGAGAGAGAGCAAGAGCACAAGCAUGGGGAGCAACAGGCAGAGGGAAAACCAACCUUCCCAUUGAGCAGGGAGUCCUAUGUGGGACUCAAUCCCAGAACCUUGGGAUGAUGACCCCAAGGUGAAAGCAGCCACUUAACUGACUGAACCACCCAGGCACUCCAGAUAUUUUGGUUUUGUUCUCAUCUAAAGGUUUUAGGGAUUUAAGUGAGUCUAUCCCAGUCAAAUGUGCUCAGAGGUAAUUUUACAAAAAUGGAGUAUAGUUCUCUUUUAAAUUGGCACCCAAAGUGUAAUAUUUCAAGGUUUGGAAAACUGGCUUUCUUUUUUAAAAAUUCGUAUUUUACUUUCCUUGUCUCAAUAAACACCCCAAGUGUAGGUUUAGCAAAUGGAUGCAGUUCAGGCAAAUUUUGUGUUUAUACUUCUUUUUUGGUUAAUUUUUCUGCCAAGUUCACCCUGUGGGGUGGACUUUGAGCAGUGGAGACUACUCAAGAGAGCUGACAAAUAAGUUCUUUUCCAUCUUUUCCACUUACAUAGACUGCUCUUAGAAAUGGUGAUUUUAUGUAUCCUUAUUGAAGACAUCAUACGAUAUAAUCAGCGUGUUUUUUUGAAAAGUUCUGUCCAGAUGGCUAACGUAGCCCUGUGUAUUUGCUUUCCCUCUUUCCUGGCCUCACUUUCCUUUCCCCCUUGCACUUGUUUCCUUGUAUUAUACAUUUCAAGGUAAACUGGUGCCCCAGACCCUGUUUCCUAGUCUUGAGCUAAGAAACGACCCAAACUAUUCUAUAUUUUUAAGGAAAUGAGCUCUGUAAUAUGAGACAUUACCAACAGUAGCUCAGUGUACCCUGCCUCAAGAGCAGCAAACAUAAAAAUAAUGUUUCUACUUAUGGAUAAAAUUAAUAUUUGGAGAUAACUCCAAACUAGUGAUAUAAAAAGUCCUUCCACAAGGUAUGCUGUCAGGAAAAGGUAAGCUUUGAAAAUGGACACCUGCUUUACAAUACACACAACUGUACAUAACAGAAAAAUUUAAAAAAGGAAAACAUUGAAAUGUGUUUAUAAAAAGUUUGAAGGGAACAAAGAGUCUAUUUUUGUAACAUAGAGAGAGGAAGGACCUUUCUCAGCAUGAUCAAAUACCUAGAAGCCAUAAAGGGAAAGUAUGAAUGAUUUACCUAUAGUUGAUCACCUACAUAGGGGGAAAAAACAUGAGCAACACUAAAUGAAUUAGAUGUCCACCUUCUUUGACAGCACCAACAUCUAGCUGAAUCAGCUUGCCCUGACUCCCUGAGUACUAAAUAAUCAUCUGAUGAUAAUUUUAUUUAUGAUAUAGAUUGGUGUUAGGGAGAGAACAUACUGAGCAUAAAACAAUGAGAAUCUGGUCUACUUGGUAAUUAUCUUUCUUUUUUUUUUGGUAAUUAUCUUUCUAAUAGUAACAUACAUUAUCACUCUUUUUUAUUUUCAAGAAGAAACUCUACCCUACUUGAUGAUACAUUCUUUUCUCUGCAAACUUAAGAAUGUUCGAUAAACAGGGGACUCUGUGCCCAAACAAAGACCUUGUAUUAUUAUGCUUACUUUUUCACUUUUUGAAAUAUAAAUGAUCAACAGGGCCAGAGAGUUACACUAAGUCCAAUCUCAAUUGUGGAGUGAAUUAUGUGUACAUGAACCUGUAAGGAUAAUGUUACCCCUCCAAUAGCACUUCCUGCUCUCCCCAUCUCUCUUCUCCCUCCCCCCAGGCCUAUCUCCAAACCCGCAGGUUGUCCACACCUUAACCACAAGGCCUGAGGGAGACCUAAUGGACAGGAUCAAGUGUGGAAGUACACCAUUCUGAAAAACAAAUAUCUGCUCUCCUGCCUAAUACCACAGGUCAGGUCAGGGCAGACCGGGGGGCCAUUAUCCUAGUUUUCUAUACCCCAUGAUGGUAGCAAGGUAGUUCUGUUUUAAAGGCAAGGGAAGAGCCAUAGUUCAAAUGUAGAAACUAGAAAAAACCUUUAGCUUGGGAUGUGAUGUAAAACGAGUAUAAAAAGGUAGCAUUGAAAAUAGUCAUAAUCAUUCUUAGAAAGGCCAUUGUCAAAGGAACUUAGCUAGUCUCCAUUUGUCAACAUCACCGCUUUCAAACAUUAACUCCACUGUGUUUCCAUGCGUGUAGUUUGGGUAGUUUGCAGUAGCAAUAGUCUCUUCUUGUUAGGUGACACUAUAUUAGGUCAUGCCUCAAGCUGUGGCUUGAAGAACAGUGGCAAUGGCAGUGGCAAAAAUAGA
Molecule: long non-coding RNA, 4514 nt
Filed under: Canis lupus familiaris (dog)
Lineage: Eukaryota; Metazoa; Chordata; Mammalia; Carnivora; Canidae
Description: lncRNA (ENSCAFG00805018255.1, ENSCAFG00845019871.1)
Rfam family: U4 spliceosomal RNA (bases 1211-1369)
Source: RNAcentral